This 253-nucleotide ribosomal RNA is filed under the name uncultured bacterium. RNAcentral describes it as "partial 16S ribosomal RNA". It matches the Rfam family "Bacterial small subunit ribosomal RNA", at positions 524 to 776 of the family's 1533-position model. The record is from RNAcentral.
UACGGGGGGGGCAAGCGUUGUUCGGAAUUACUGGGCGUAAAGGGCUCGUAGGCGGCCAACUAAGUCAGACGUGAAAUCCCUCGGCUUAACCGGGGAACUGCGUCUGAUACUGGAUGGCUUGAGUUCGGGAGAGGGAUGCGGAAUUCCAGGUGUAGCGGUGAAAUGCGUAGAUAUCUGGAGGAACACCCGUAGCGAAGGCAGCUCGCUGGGACGGUACUGACGCUGAGACGCGAAAGCGUGGGGAGCAAACAGG